Long non-coding RNA from Monodelphis domestica (gray short-tailed opossum), 1303 nucleotides. NCBI's taxonomy places the organism in Eukaryota, Metazoa, Chordata, Mammalia, Didelphimorphia, Didelphidae. The record is from Ensembl.
UGCUACACACAUGGAUGUGAUCAUGGAUGGGGGGGCAAAGGGGGGAGAGACAGAGAAUGUGCAAUAAGCCUUGAGUCUUCCCAUUCUGCAAAUGGGACUGAUCAACUAACUGGCUACCCUAAGAAUUCCUCAGUUGGCAACCAUGAAGGGAUUCAAGAACCCUGGAGCAACCCUCCCAAACUGAGGAACUUCUCUCCAGGAGAUCACACCUGGAGUUUGGACUUCCCCUUGAAUCUGAUACAAAUUCUUCCAAGUCAAAAUAAAACUAUAAUAGCAAAAACAUCUAAGAAUCUCCGCAAGUAACCUGAACCAGAGAAACAAUCUUCUAGGAGAAGCCUUCCUCUUCAGAGCUGCUUGGAACAUAGACCAUUCCAGAAUGCUCAAAAGAAGAUGCUUUUAGAAACCAGAGGCCUCCAUGAAACAUCUGAGACCUAUUUGAAAUAGAUUACUGGGAAGGAGGCUUAAUGUUUGUCCUUCCUUAAGCACCACUGCCUCUGUAAAACCUUCUUAUCAGUUCAUUAAUGUGUCAGUCAUUGGUGAGCUCAAAGAUCAAGGGACAAAUUCUUGUAAGAUUAGAUAUCAUGAUUUUGGGACAAACAUCUCUAAAAUUAGUCCCAUUAAAGUAGAAUAUCUGGGAUAUAAUUUCUUUAGCCCCUAUUCCCAUAUCCUGGGGUCAUGGUAUUAGCAUAAAAAGGGUAUACACAAGUCCAUCAAGGGGCCUGUGACCUGUUAUAGUGCUUUCCUAGUCCAAGACCUCAUAAUUGCCUUUGGGCUUGGAUAAAUUUAUUCCUGAGAAAUGAUAGUUCACAAUGAUUCAGAUUUCUUAUUCAUGACAUUUUUGUUUCUGUAAUCAUUAUUUCACCUUAACUAAACAUUAUGGAGUGAUAGACAUGUGAUUUUUUACUAUAUUUUGAUUUUUAACUUAAACAUUAUGUGAUUCAUGGGACCCUUGGUCUUCCAAGAAUCAAAGGGGGGUAAUUUAAAAUUAAAAAUUGGUUUUUAAUUCCAUCUUGUUCAAACAUAAUCAAACUAGAUUUUCUACUUGCCCUAGCUGUUCUAUAUUCAAGUCAAUUAGAUCUUGAUUCUAUUUUUGCAACUUGUAUCCUUGUACCUUUACCUCUCAUCGGCAUUUCAUGAAUCAUACAUCUUGUUUGUGGCUAUGAGGGUUUCAGAAGGAAGGGUCCAAAUGUUGUGAUAUAAAGCAGAUGUGAGAGAUUUUUACUUUCUAGCCAGUCAGAAGAAGAUACAUCUAACUACUCAAGAUUUUGCUCUGUCAUCUUAGUUAUCACCAUAAAAGACCCUG